AGAGCGUAGGGAGAAUGCCUAGGUACCAAGAGCCGAAGAAGGACGUGAUAAGCUGCGAAAAGCCACGGGGAGGAGCAAAUAUCCAUCGAGCCGUGGGUGUCCGAAUGAGGGAACUCAUACAGUAAAAAAAGACUGUAUAUCCAUACAUGAGUAAAGUAGUGUAUAGGAAGGGAACGUGGGGAACUGAAACAUCUUAGUACCCAUAGGAAAAGAAAGUAACAACGAUUCCUGAAGUAGUGGCGAGCGAAACAGGAAGAGCCCAAACCAUGGAUAGUAAUAUUUGUGGGGUUCGGAUUAUCAAUAAAGCCAAGAAUGAUGUUAGUAGAAUUACCAGGGAAGGUAAACCAAAGAAGGUGAAAGUCCUGUAUAUGAAAACAGAGUGAAGGCGAGAUAAAUCCAGAGUAGUGCGAGACACGAGAAAUCUCGUAUGAAAGAGCGGAGACCAUUCCGUAAGGCUAAAUACUACUUGGUAACCGAUAGAGAACAAGUACCGUGAGGGAACGGUGAAAAGGACCCCGGGAGGGGAGUGAAAGAGAACCUGAAACCCUAUGUUUACAAGCAGAUAGAGCGAUUUAAGGCGCGAUAUCGUACUUUUUGUAGAACGGUCCAGCGAGUUAUUGUAUAUGGCGAGGUUAAGUUCUGAAUAAGGAAUGGAGCCGAAGAGAAAUCGAGUCUGAAGAGGGCGAUAUAAGUCAUAUAUAAUAGACCCGAAACCGGGUGACCUAUCCAUGGUCAGGAUGAAGCUGAAGUAAAAUUCAGUGGAGGUCCGAACUGAUUGUCGUUAAAAAGGCACCGGAUGAACUGUGGAUAGCGGAGAAAUUCCAAUCGAACUCGGAGAUAGCUGGUUCUCCUCGAAAUAGCUUUAGGGCUAGCCUUGAGGUCAAAGAAUUAUGGGGGUAGAGCACUGAAUGAGGUAGGGGCCAAACCAGGUUACCAAACUCUAUCAAACUACGAAUACCAUAAUUAGAAUACUCAGGAGUCAGACUGCGGGAGCUAAGUUCCGUGGUCAAAAGGGAAAGAGCCCAGACCGACAAUUAAGGUCCCAAAGAUAUAGUUAAGUGGAAAACGAUGUGAAUUUGCAUAAACAACCAGGAUGUUGGCUCAGAAGCAGCCACUCAUUCAAAGAGUGCGUAACAGCUCACUGGUCGAGUGAAUUUGCGCGGAAAAUUACCGGGGCUAAACUAUCCACCGAAAUUACGGAUUGCAGUACAUUUAACAAUGUAUGCGGAAAGAGAAAAGAAGAAAGAAGUAUAUAUUGUUAAGUGUACUGUAGUGGUAGAGGAGCAUUCUGUAGUAGGAAGAAGCUAAAGCGAGAGCAUUAGUGGACGAGACAGAAGAGAGAAUGCUGGAAUAAGUAGCGAGAGCAAGGUGAGAAUCCUUGCCGUCGAAAGUCUAAGGUUUCCUGGGGAAGGUUCGUCCGCCCAGGGUAAGUCGGGGCCUAAGGAGAGGCCGAAAGGCGUAUCUGAUGGACAGCAGGUGGAGAUUCCUGCACUAUAGCUAGUUUUAAAAGAUGCAAGGGACGCAGUAGAGGAAGAUAACCAAGGAAGAGGAAAAACUUGGUCCGCAAGGGAUAGUGAAAAUUAAUAGUAACGAAAUAUCAAGAAUCACACUGACGAGAAAAGCUUGUAGAUAUUAACUAGAAAUACCCGUACCGCAAACCGACACAGGUAGAUGAGGAGAGGAUCCUAAGACGAGCGGGAGAAGCAUUGUUAAGGAACUCGGCAAAAUAACCCCGUAACUUCGGGAGAAGGGGAGCCUAAGUAAAAUUAGGUCGCAGAGAAAAGGCCCAAGCAACUGUUUAACAAAAACACAGGUUUCUGCAAAAUCGAAAGAUGAAGUAUAGGAGCUGACGCCUGCCCAGUGCUGGAAGGUUAAGGGAAAGAGUUAGGUGUAAACCGAAGCUUAGAACUAAAGCCCCAGUGAACGGCGGCCGUAACUAUAACGGUCCUAAGGUAGCGAAAUUCCUUGUCAGGUAAGUUCUGACCCGCACGAAAGGCGUAAUGAUUUGGGCACUGUCUCGACAAUGUACCCGGCGAAAUUGUAGUACUAGUGAAGAUGCUAGUUACCUGCGACAAGACAGAAAGACCCCAUGGAGCUUUACUGCAGUUUGAUACUGGGUUUCGGCAAGUUAUGUACAGGAUAGGUGGGAGACUAAGAAAGAAAGGCGUCAGCUUUUCCGGAGUCACCCUUGGGAUACCACCCUUAAUUUGUUGGAAUUCUAACUAGUGGUCAUGAUCUGGCCAGAGGACAAUGUCAGACGGGCAGUUUGACUGGGGCGGUCGCCUCCAAAAGAGUAACGGAGGCGCCCAAAGGUUCCCUCAGUGCGGACAGAAAUCGCACGAAAGAGUGUAAAGGCAGAAGGGAGCUUAACUGGAAGAUAGACAUAUCGAGCAGAUACGAAAGUAGGGCUUAGUGAUCCGGUGGAAAUUGAAUGGAAAAGCCAUCGCUCAACGGACAAAAGUUACCCUGGGGAUAACAGGCUUAUCUCCCCCAAGAGUUCACAUCGACGGGGAGGUUUGGCACCUCGAUGUCGGCUCAUCGCAUCCUGGAGCUGAAGUCGGUUCCAAGGGUUGGGCUGUUCGCCCAUUAAAGCGGUACGCGAGCUGGGUUCAGAACGUCGUGAGACAGUUCGGUCCUUAUCUGUCGCAGGCGGAAGAUAUUUGAGAGGAGCUGUCCUUAGUACGAGAGGACCAGGAUGGACAUACCGAUGGUGUAUCAGUUGUCACACCAGUGGCACGGCUGAGUAGCCAAGUAUGGAAGGGAUAAACGCUGAAAGCAUCUAAGUGUGAAGCCCACCUCAAGAUAAGAUAUCUCAUAUCGU
This 2821-nucleotide ribosomal RNA is filed under the name human gut metagenome. RNAcentral's name for it is "bacterial LSU rRNA". It matches the Rfam family "Bacterial large subunit ribosomal RNA". The record is from RNAcentral.